Molecule: ribosomal RNA, 2217 nt
Filed under: human oral metagenome
Description: bacterial LSU rRNA
Rfam family: Bacterial large subunit ribosomal RNA
Source: RNAcentral
ACCGUGAGGGAAUGGUGAAAAGUACCCCGGGAGGGGAGUGAAAUAGUACCUGAAACCGUGUGCCUGUAAGCCGUCAGAGCCUUGUGGGGUGAUGGCGUGCCUUUUGAAGAAUGAGCCUGCGAGUUAGUGAUACGUGGCGUGCUUAACCCGUGUGGGGUAUGCGUAGCGAAAGCGAGUCUGAAAUAUGGCGUUUGUCGCGUGUUCUAGACCCGAAGCGGGGUGAUCUACCCAUGGUCAGGUUGAAGCAGAGGUAAGACUGUGUGGAGGACCGAACCCACCAGGGUUGAAAACCUGGGGGAUGAACUGUGGGUAGGGGUGAAAGGCCAAUCAAACUCCGUGAUAGCUGGUUCUCCCCGAAAUGCAUUUAGGUGCAGCGUUGCGUGGUCCCUGGUGGAGGUAGAGCUACUGGAUGGCCGAUGGGCCCUGUGGGUUACUGACGUCAGCCAAACUCCGAAUGCCAUUAGGUGUAGCGUGGCAGUGAGACUGCGGGGGAUAAGCUUCGUAGUCGAGAGGGAAACAGCCCAGAUCAUCAGCUAAGGCCCCUAAGCGUGCGCUAAGUGGGAAAGGAUGUGGAGUCGCGGUGACAACCAGGAGGUUGGCUUAGAAGCAGCCAUCCUUGAAAGAGUGCGUAAUAGCUCACUGGUCAAGUGGUUCUGCGCCGACAAUGUAGCGGGGCUCAAGCGUACCGCCGAAGCUGUGGCAACAACACAUGAUGCUGGCGCCAGGAACUGGAGUGCUGGUGUGUUGUUGGGUAGGGGAGCGUCCUGCACGAGGUGAAGCCUGGAGGGAACUUCUGGUGGAUUGUGUGGGAGUGAGAAUGCAGGCAUGAGUAACGAAUCUGCGGUGAGAAUCCGCAGCGCCGAUUGACUAAGGGUUCCAGGGCUAGGUUUAUCCGCCCUGGGUUAGUCGGGUCCUAAGGCGAGGCCGACAGGCGUAGUCGAUGGACAACCAGUUGAUAUUCUGGUACCGCGUUAUGACCGCCCAUGCUGAAGUCAUUGUGCUAACCAAUUUGCCCGCCGUGCGUUGGUCCUUCGGGACCGUCGUUCCGUGUGGGUCUUGGGGUCCCGGUGAUUGUAGGCAAGCGUGUUAACAGGGGUGACGCAGACAGGUAGCUGCAGUGCGCCGAUGGUUGUGCGUAUUUAAGGUUGUGGCCCGUCUCCCAGGCAAAUCCGGGGGACAUUGUGGGUGAGAACUGAUGAGGGACACACGCGUGUGUGGACUUGUGGUGAUCCUAAGCUGCCGAGAAAAGCCUCGACGUGAGGGCAUAACGCGCCCGUACCCUAAACCGACUCAGGUGGUCAGGUAGAGUAUACCGAGGCGUUCGAGUGAAUCGUGGUUAAGGAACUCGGCAAAAUUCCUCCGUAACUUCGGGAUAAGGAGGACCCCGUGACUUCCCAGUGCCUCGCGCGCUGGUGGGGUUGUGGGGUCGCAGAGAAUAGGGAGAAGCGACUGUUUAUCAAAAACACAGGUGCGUGCGAAGCCGUAAGGCGAUGUAUACGCACUGACGCCUGCCCGGUGCUGGAAGGUUAAGAGGAACCGUCAACACCCCCCGCGGGUGUGAAGCGGUGAAUUUAAGCCCCAGUAAACGGCGGUGGUAACUAUAACCAUCCUAAGGUAGCGAAAUUCCUUGUCGGGUAAGUUCCGACCUGCACGAAUGGCGUAACGACUUCUCCGCUGUCUCAACCGCGAACUCGGUGAAAUUGCAGUACGAGUAAAGAUGCUCGUUUCGCGCAGAAGGACGGAAAGACCCCGGGACCUUUACUAUAGCUUGGUAUUGGUGUUCGCUUGGACUUGUGUAGGAUAGGUGGGAGACUGUGAAGCUGCCGCGCCAGCGGUGGUGGAGUCGUCGUUGAAAUACCAUUCUGGUUCAAGCGGUCACCUCAACCUUGGCCCGUGAUCCGGGUUGGGGACAGUGCCUGGUGGGUAGUUUAACUGGGGCGGUUGCCUCCUAAAAUGUAACGGAGGCGCUCAAAGGUUCCCUCAGCCUGGUUGGUAAUCAGGUGGCGAGUGCAAGUGUACAAGGGAGCUUGACUGUGAGACCGACGGGUCGAGCAGGUGCGAAAGCAGGAACUAGUGAUCCGGCCAUGGCACGUGGGUGCGUGGUCGCUCAACGGAUAAAAGGUACCCCGGGGAUAACAGGCUGAUCUUGCCCAAGAGUCCAUAUCGACGGCAUGGUUUGGCACCUCGAUGUCGGCUCGUCGCAUCCUGGGGCUGGAG